Long non-coding RNA from Carassius gibelio (silver crucian carp), 874 nucleotides. RefSeq lists it as uncharacterized. The record is from RefSeq and is a predicted model, not a curated record. NCBI's taxonomy places the organism in Eukaryota, Metazoa, Chordata, Actinopteri, Cypriniformes, Cyprinidae. The transcript has 2 exons.
UGUUCUCUGCUUACUCACCUGUAUUAAUAAACUGCUGCAGAUGGAUCUAACUGACUCCGCCGUUUCAUCACAGAAAACUUCACCAACUCAAGAUCCAGCAGAGUUUCGUCACCUCGCCAAUGAGGUUUCAUCCCAGGCAGCGGUGCUCGCUUCACAUCAGCGGCAGCUGACCCGCAGUCACCCCCAGGAGAGAGGAGGGUCAGGAGGGGAACACACAGGUGCAGAAUCCUCCCAUUGAGGUUGGCGGUGCGGAGGCCUACCGGGUGCGAGCAGUACUGGACUCCAGACGACGUGGUGGGGCUUUACAGUACCUUAUUGACUGGGAGGGGUACGGUCCAGAGGAACGGUCCUGGGUCAGGUCGCAGGACAUUCUGGACCCCUCUCUACUUACCAGCUUUCAUCGUGACCAUCCUGACCGACCUGCUCCCAGACCCCGAGGAAGACCCCACCGACGUUCUGGUCCUCGCUUCCGGAGCCGCUCGCAGGGGAGGGGCUAUGUCAUGGAACGUUCUGCUACGCCCUCUUCUGGCGGUAUCAGAUCCCUCUCUCCUGAAUAUUAGGACUGCAUUUCCCAGUGUCCCUCUCCCCAAUCAUCCCCGUCUAACCCUGCUUAAUUAUCUUGAUUACCUUCUAGUAUUUUCACCUGCACCUUGUGUUCUCCCCUUUAUAUUGACUGCUAUUCCCUUUUAUAUUUUGUGAAGUUUUGAUUUACCCCUGGUCUGUAUUGUUAGUAUCUCUGAUCGUUGUUACCCUAUUGAGGAGUUUAUCUAAGUUCUCUACGAACGUCUGCUUAAGUUCCUUUUCAUUGCCAGCCUGAGUUUAUGUCAGCUGUUCUCUGCUUACUCACCUGUAUUAAUAAACUGCUGCAGAUGGA